Non-coding RNA from Spirochaeta sp., 73 nucleotides. Lineage: Bacteria; Pseudomonadati; Spirochaetota; Spirochaetia; Spirochaetales; Spirochaetaceae. The record is from Rfam.
GCCGCUGUAGCUCAGUCGGUAGAGCAGUGGACUGAAAAUCCAUGUGUCAAGAGUUCAAUUCUCUUCGGUGGCA